RNAcentral lists this ribosomal RNA (253 nucleotides) under uncultured bacterium. Its description in RNAcentral is "partial 16S ribosomal RNA". It matches the Rfam family "Bacterial small subunit ribosomal RNA", at positions 524 to 776 of the family's 1533-position model. The record is from RNAcentral.
GACGUAGGGUGCAAGCGUUGUCCGGAUUUAUUGGGCGUAAAGAGCUCGUAGGCGGCUUGUUGCGUCGACUGUGAAAACCCGCGGCUUAACUGCGGGCUUGCAGUUGAUACGGGCAGGCUAGAGUUCGGUAGGGGAGACUGGAAUUCCUGGUGUAGCGGUGAAAUGCGCAGAUAUCAGGAGGAACACCGGUGGCGAAGGCGGCAUCCUGGACCGGCAUUGACGCUGAGGCGCGAAAGCUAGGGGAGCAAACGGG